RNAcentral lists this ribosomal RNA (387 nucleotides) under uncultured bacterium. RNAcentral describes it as "bacterial SSU rRNA". It matches the Rfam family "Bacterial small subunit ribosomal RNA", at positions 29 to 416 of the family's 1533-position model. The record is from RNAcentral.
AUUAAACGCUGGCGGCAUGCCUUACACAUGCAAGUCGAACGGCAGCACGGGGGCAACCCUGGUGGCGAGUGGCGGACGGGUGAGUAAAGCAUCGGAACGUAUCCUGGAGUGGGGGGAUAACGUAGCGAAAGUUACGCUAAUACCGCAUAUUCUGUGAGCAGGAAAGCAGGGGAUCGCAAGACCUUGCGCUCUGGGAGCGGCCGAUGUCGGAUUAGCUAGUUGGUGGGGUAAAGGCCUACCAAGGCGACGAUCCGUAGCGGGUCUGAGAGGAUGAUCCGCCACACUGGGACUGAGACACGGCCCAGACUCCUACGGGAGGCAGCAGUGGGGAAUUUUGGACAAUGGGCGGAAGCCUGAUCCAGCCACGCCGCGUGAGUGAAGAAGGCC